GAUGAACGCUGACAGAAUGCUUAACACAUGCAAGUCUUUGGCGAAGCUGUGCUUGCACAGCCUAGCCAAGGCGGACGGGUGAGUAACGCGUAAGGAACUUGCCCUGCAGUCAGGGAUAACAGACGGAAACGACUGAUAAGACCUGGUAAAGUCAGGCGGACUCAUGUCCAGCCUGAUGAAAAGAGAUGCUGCAGGAGAGCCUUGCGUCCUAUUAGCUUGUUGGUGGGGUAACGGCCCACCAAGGCGAUGAUAGGUAGCCGGCCUGAGAGGGUAGACGGCCACAAGGGGACGGAGAUACGGCCCUUACUCCUACGGGAGGCAGCAGGGGGGAAUAUUGGACAAUGGGGACAACCCUGAUCAAGCAAUUCUGUGUGAACGAUGAAGGUUUUCGGAUUGUAAAGUGCUUUCAGCAGAGAAGAAAAAAAUGACGGUACCUGCAGAAGAAGCGACGGCUAAAUACGUG
This 463-nucleotide ribosomal RNA is filed under the name uncultured bacterium. RNAcentral's name for it is "partial 16S ribosomal RNA". It matches the Rfam family "Bacterial small subunit ribosomal RNA", at positions 28 to 507 of the family's 1533-position model. The record is from RNAcentral.